AUAGAUCACAGAACACAGCGGCUUAGAUUUAGUAAGGCUUUGCACUUUAGUGUCUAAUAUGCAUAUUAGUAUCUAAUAUACAUACUGGAUUCAUAUACCCAUAAAUAACCAUAACAAAAGAAAGUAUAAUUUCAAAACAUUUGUUAUUGAUAAGAUUUGUCCUGUCCAAAAAUGAAAGAAAGCCGUAUGUGAAAUUUUAGAGCCAGAAAGGAAGUUUGGAAGUCAAUAUUUAUAACAAGAUCUUGUUUUAUUGUGGUACUUGUAAGAUAUUAUCACUAUUUCAUUAAUCUAUGAAUUAGGAGAAAUCUAAUCUUCUGUUCCUCUUUACAGCUCUGCAAAAGAGUGGCAAUGUAGCUCCAUCACCCCCGAAAACCAGGACUAAAGAGGUGAUGAAAUAUUUUAGUAUUGAAUUUAAAAUAUCAUCAUUCAGAAAUACUGGGUUUUUUUUUUCAGAUCGGCCAUAUACACACAACCUGAGCUAUGAAAAACAUGAACAAUGUAACAGAAUUCAUCCUGCUGGGCCUCACUCACAAUCCAGAACUGCAGAAACUCUUGUUUAUUAUGUUUUUAAUCAGCUACUUGAUCACAUUGGCAGUUACAAAUGAGAGAGCUGGUGGGAGCCACUGGGAGAUGCCUGAGCAGAACUAAGUUUAGAAGCUCUGAAGAAUGAAAGAUCCCAUCCUGUUCUGGUCCUCUGAAAGAAGGAGAAAGAAGAGUCAGUGUCAGGGACCAGAAGAUCUGUCUCUGUACUGAGCUUGUGGUUCCUGUGGGAGAGCCCAGAAACAUGUUUUCAGGAGAGCAUUUCUAACCCAUGGAGUUGCACAUCACCAGAUACGGACAUUUUCUGUGUUCUCAGGACUUUAUAUCAGGUCACAUCUUGCAUACAAUGCCUUUUUAAAAAUAAAUGCAUUGUCAUAAUUUCCUAUCAGUGCCUAUUUUGUAAAUACAUGCAAGCAACAGUAUGUUUUUUAAAAUUAAAUGUAUCCUUUAAAAAUGUAGUUGUAUACCAUUUGACACAGCAAUCUCAUUACUGGGUAUAUAACCAAAGGAUUAUAAAUCAUGCUACU
Molecule: long non-coding RNA, 1067 nt
Filed under: Papio anubis (olive baboon)
Lineage: Eukaryota; Metazoa; Chordata; Mammalia; Primates; Cercopithecidae
Description: lncRNA (ENSPANG00000046591.1)
Source: RNAcentral